Molecule: ribosomal RNA, 253 nt
Filed under: uncultured bacterium
Lineage: Bacteria
Description: partial 16S ribosomal RNA
Rfam family: Bacterial small subunit ribosomal RNA
Source: RNAcentral
UACAGAGGGUGCGAGCGUUGUCCGGAAUCACUGGGCGUAAAGGGCGCGUAGGCGGCCUGAUAAGUAGGGGGUGAAAUCUUGCGGCUCAACCGCAAGGCUGCCUUCUAAACUGUCAGGCUGGAGCACGGUAGAGGCAGAUGGAAUUCCCGGUGUAGCGGUGGAAUGCGUAGAUAUCGGGAGGAACACCAGUGGCGAAGGCGACUUCCUGGCCUGUUCUUGACGCUGAGGCGCGAAAGCUAGGGGAGCAAACGGG